CUGGCGGCAGGCUUAACACAUGCAAGUCGAGCGCACUCUUCGGAGUGAGCGGCGGACGGGUUAGUAACGCGUGGGAACGUGCCCUUCUCUAAGGAAUAGCCUCUGGAAACGGAGAGUAAUACCUUAUACGCCCUUUGGGGGAAAGAUUUAUCGGAGAAGGAUCGGCCCGCGUUAGAUUAGAUAGUUGGUGGGGUAAUGGCCUACCAAGUCUACGAUCUAUAGCUGGUUUGAGAGGAUGAUCAGCAACACUGGGACUGAGACACGGCCCAGACUUCUACGGAAGGCAGCAGUGGGGAAUCUUGGACAAUGGGCGCAAGCCUGAUCUAGCCAUGCCGCGUGAGUGACGAAGGCCUUAGGGUCGUAAAGCUCUUUCGCCAGGGAUGAUAAUGACAGUACCUGGUAAAGAAACCCCGGCUAACUCCGUGCCAGCAGCCGCGGUAAUACGGAGGGGGUUAGCGUUGUUCGGAAUUACUGGGCGUAAAGCGUACGUAGGCGGAUUGGAAAGUAUGGGGUGAAAUCCCAGGGCUCAACCCUGGAACUGCCCUGUAAACUAUCA
RNAcentral lists this ribosomal RNA (556 nucleotides) under uncultured marine bacterium. RNAcentral describes it as "bacterial SSU rRNA". It matches the Rfam family "Bacterial small subunit ribosomal RNA", at positions 36 to 638 of the family's 1533-position model. The record is from RNAcentral.